This 254-nucleotide ribosomal RNA is filed under the name uncultured bacterium. Its description in RNAcentral is "partial 16S ribosomal RNA". It matches the Rfam family "Bacterial small subunit ribosomal RNA", at positions 1246 to 1500 of the family's 1533-position model. The record is from RNAcentral.
GAAGCAAAACAGCGAUGUGGAGCAAACCCCUAAAAACGUUCUCAGUUCAGAUUGCAGGCUGCAACCCGCCUGCAUGAAGUCGGAAUUGUUAGUAAUCGCGGAUCAGCAUGCCGCGGUGAAUACGUUCCCGGGCCUUGUACACACCGCCCGUCACACCAUGGGAGUUGGUAACGCCCGAAGUCAGUGACCUAACCGCAAGGGAGGAGCUGCCGAAGGUGGGGCCAGUAACUGGGGUGAAGUCGUAACAAGGUACC